Molecule: ribosomal RNA, 433 nt
Filed under: uncultured bacterium
Lineage: Bacteria
Description: partial 16S ribosomal RNA
Rfam family: Bacterial small subunit ribosomal RNA
Source: RNAcentral
AACGAACGCUGGCGGCAGGCCUAACACAUGCAAGUCGAGCGAGAUCUUCGGGUCUAGCGGCGGACGGGUGAGUAACGCGUGGGAAUAUGCCUCUUGGUACGGAAUAGCCUCGGGAAACUGGGAGUAAUACCGUAUGUGCCCUUUGGGGGAAAGAUUUAUCGCCAAGAGAUUAGCCCGCGUUGGAUUAGGUAGUUGGUGGGGUAAUGGCCUACCAAGCCGACGAUCCAUAGCUGGUUUGAGAGGAUGAUCAGCCACACUGGGACUGAGACACGGCCCAGACUCCUACGGGAGGCAGCAGUGGGGAAUCUUAGACAAGGGGGGCAACCCUGAUCUAGCCAUGCCGCGUGGGUGAUGAAGGCCUUAGGGUUGUAAAGCUCUUUCAGCUGGGAAGAUAAUGACGGUACCAGCAGAAGAAGCCCCGGCUAACUCCGUG